Molecule: long non-coding RNA, 999 nt
Organism: Cebus imitator (Panamanian white-faced capuchin)
Lineage: Eukaryota; Metazoa; Chordata; Mammalia; Primates; Cebidae
Exons: 2
Source: RefSeq, a predicted model, not a curated record
CGCUGGGGAACCUCCUCCCAGCCUAAUGGUGGAGACUGGGUACCCAGUACAGUGUUCAGGCUGCUGUGGUUCAUACGUACUGGAACCCCAGAGUAGGGGCGGCCUUCCCCAUGGCAAUGCCUGAUGAGUACUUUGAAUUACAGAUAUCUGUACAGGCCCUGUUAAAAAUGCCGCUCUUCAGGGCAUUUCGUGUUUUCCGUUAAGGGCUCCUGGGACUUGUAAAUUCAGUUCAACUCACCUUCUGGAGAAUGGUCCCUGCCCAGAGGAAGUCUGAGCCAUAAGCUGCGACGGGACCUAACUUCGGUGCCCCUUCAAUGUGGAACAUGUGGUCAUCAAAGAAGAUGUGGGGCCGGAUCUUCACCAAGAUGGGACUUUUGGGGGCUCCAGCAAGGAAAAGAGCUUCGUCUAUCUCUAGACCCCAGCGUCGAAGGGUCUUCAGUACACGGGCGCCUGAACUGGCUGCACUCCUAGCUGUAACCAGGUAGGUCCUGAUAGGACAAAGUAACCGUUCAUUUUUGGCAUAGAACUUCUUUUGCAGUCUGCCUAAAUCUUCCAGAAAGCCUUUUACGGGACCCUGUAAAAGGAACAUAUAUCACAGCUGUGAUACAAUGAGCCAGAGAAAGUGAGUGCUGAAAAGCAGAGACGUAUAAGAUACAAUACGAAGGAUAUGAUACAGCAUGACAUGCUUAUGAAGCGGAUGGCAAAAUGCUAAAACUUGAUAUGUAUUCAUGUGAAUAUGUUUUCUAAUAUGGAAUCAUCCUUGCAUUCCUGGAUUGAGCCUAAAAUGACCAUAUGAUUUAACAUCUAAACAUGUAUACUUUAAGUAUGAAAGAAUAUUCUAUAAAUAAUUAAACCAGGACAACAGACAUGAAUUAUCCAUGGUAAGCUAGAAUACAGGGUCACUCUAAAUAAAAUCUAAUUAGUUACCAAAGCACUACUCUUUUAAUUCACUUUUUGUGAUUUGUGCGUUUUAACUUCAUAGAGUAUACUCUUGUCUAG